CCUACGGGUGGCAGCAGUGAGGAAUAUUGGUCAAUGGACGAGAGUCUGAACCAGCCAAGUAGCGUGAAGGAUGACUGCCCUAUGGGUUGUAAACUUCUUUUAUAUGGGGAUAAAACGUUCCACGUGUGGGAUUUUGUAUGUACCAUAUGAAUAAGGAUCGGCUAACUCCGUGCCAGCAGCCGCGGUAAUACGGAGGAUCCGAGCGUUAUCCGGAUUUAUUGGGUUUAAAGGGAGCGUAGGUGGAUUGUUAAGUGAGUUGUGAAAGUUUGCGGCUCAACCGUAAAAUUGCAGUUGAAACUGGCAGUCUUGAGUACAGUAGAGGUGGGCGGAAUUCGUGGUGUAGCGGUGAAAUGCUUAGAUAUCACGAAGAACUCCGAUUGCGAAGGCAGUUCACUGGACUGCAACUGACACUGAGGCUCGAAAGUGUGGGUAUCAAACAGGAUUAGAUACCCCUGUAGUC
This 460-nucleotide ribosomal RNA is filed under the name uncultured bacterium. Its description in RNAcentral is "partial 16S ribosomal RNA". It matches the Rfam family "Bacterial small subunit ribosomal RNA", at positions 338 to 795 of the family's 1533-position model. The record is from RNAcentral.